UACGAGUGCUCCAAGCGUUAUCCGGAAUCAUUGGGCGUAAAGGGUGUGUAGGCGGUUGUGUUAGUCUUUUGUUAAAUUCUUCGGCUUAACCGGGGGCAUGCGAAGGAAACGGCACAACUAGAGGAUGCGAGAGGUGAAUGGAACUCAUGGAGUAGGGGUGAAAUCCGUUGAUAUCAUGGGGAACACCAAAUGCGAAGGCAAUUCACUGGCGCACUCCUGACGCUGAGACACGAAAGCGUAGGUAGCGAAUGGG
RNAcentral lists this ribosomal RNA (253 nucleotides) under uncultured bacterium. RNAcentral's name for it is "partial 16S ribosomal RNA". It matches the Rfam family "Bacterial small subunit ribosomal RNA", at positions 524 to 776 of the family's 1533-position model. The record is from RNAcentral.